UACGUAGGGGGCAAGCGUUGUCCGGAUUUAUUGGGUGUAAAGGGCGCGUAGGCGGUCUAUUAAGUCAGUGCUGAAAUAUCCCGGCUUAACCGGGAGGGUGGCAUUGAUACUGAUGGACUUGAGUGCAGUCGAGGUAGGCGGAAUUGCCGGUGUAGCGGUGAAAUGCUUAGAUAUCGUCAAGAACACCGAUAGUGAAGACAGCUUACUAGACUGUAACUGACGCUGAGGCACGAAAGUGUGGGGAUCAAACAGG
RNAcentral lists this ribosomal RNA (253 nucleotides) under uncultured bacterium. RNAcentral describes it as "partial 16S ribosomal RNA". It matches the Rfam family "Bacterial small subunit ribosomal RNA", at positions 524 to 776 of the family's 1533-position model. The record is from RNAcentral.